GUGCGGACUUAGUGCCGUCGUUGGUGCUAAUCAGCUGUUGGUUGUAUGGAAUUCUAGGACUGGNUCAUUGAAAUACCGGUCAGCGAUGCUACUGCUUUGGGUACUUUCAGGACCCGUCUUGAAACACGGACCAAGGAGUCUAACAUGUACGCGAGUCAUUGGGAUUUUUAUAAAUUAAACCUAAAGGCAUAAUGAAAGUAAAGGUCGUCCUUGUGUCGACUAAGGGAGGAUGGGCUAUGUUACGAUAUAGCUCCGCACUCCCGGGGCGUCUCAUUCUCAUUGCGAGAA
Molecule: ribosomal RNA, 288 nt
Filed under: Braconinae sp. BIOUG20071-F02
Lineage: Eukaryota; Metazoa; Arthropoda; Insecta; Hymenoptera; Braconidae
Description: partial 28S ribosomal RNA
Rfam family: Eukaryotic large subunit ribosomal RNA
Source: RNAcentral